Molecule: ribosomal RNA, 464 nt
Filed under: uncultured bacterium
Lineage: Bacteria
Description: partial 16S ribosomal RNA
Rfam family: Bacterial small subunit ribosomal RNA
Source: RNAcentral
GACGAACGCUGGCGGCGUGCUUAACACAUGCAAGUCGAACGGUAAGGCCCCAGCUUGCUGGGGUUCACGAGUGGCGAACGGGUGAGUAACACGUGGGUGACCUGCCCCGCACUUCGGGAUAAGCCUGGGUAACUGGGUCUAAUACCGGAUAGGACCGCACCGUGAGGGUGUGGUGGAAAGUUUUUCGGUCUGGGAUGGGCCCGCGGCCUAUCAUCUUGUUGGUUGGGUAAUGGCCUACCAAGCCGGCGACGGGUAGCCGGCAUGAGAGGGUGGACGGCCACCUGGGGACUGCGACACGCACCAGAGUGCAACGGUAGGCAGCAGUGGGGAGUAUUGCACAGUGGGCGGGAGCCUGAUGCAGCGACGCCGGGUUGGGGAUGACGGCCUUCGGGUUGUGAACACCUUUCACCAAAGACGAAGGUUUUCUGACGGUAGAUGGAGAAGAAGCACCGGCUAACUACGUG